Molecule: long non-coding RNA, 2191 nt
Filed under: Centruroides sculpturatus (bark scorpion)
Lineage: Eukaryota; Metazoa; Arthropoda; Arachnida; Scorpiones; Buthidae
Description: uncharacterized LOC111626804, transcript variant X1
Source: RNAcentral
UAAAUAUUACAAUGUAGUUAAUAAAUUGUUUAGAAAACCCCUAAUCUGGAUCAUAUUCCAAGACAUUUUCCUCGUCUUUCAGUGGAGAGAAAAUAGAUGCUGUUUUAAAAGGUAGCAAAGAAUUUUUUCUUUUUUUAAAUCUUUAUUCAAUUAGUGUGAGAAAAUAUAUAGAUCUUGUCUUCAUUAAUGGAACCACAUCUAUCACUUGUGCCAAAAGGAGAAAUCAACUUCCCUUUCACACAUUCUUAUCUCCAAAUUCGAUAACCAUCUCUUUAUGUAUCGAUUAUUAUUUUCUUUUAUAUUUUGUCUUCAUUAAAUUUUUUUUUAAUUAAAAAUGGUCUCAUUAUUGAACUCAAUUCAAUGCAGUCUUAUCAUGGGUCUACGAUCCCCCUCUCAGAAAAGUACUUCCUGUCCCCCAAAUCAAAAACAGCUAAAAGCCCAACCUAGUGACCCUGCGGGCAGAUCUUCCUGAUCUGAUGCCAAACAAAAUUCCCACAAAAUACUUUGAAAAUGGCCUAUAUGAAUGGAAAUUUCACUUUGCUAUGAUAGAAUUCUAAUAGAAAUUUUUUUCCCUAUAAAAAGAGGAAUAUGCGAUGUUUUCUUUUUUUUCCUAAUGUUUUUCUUGCACGAUGAACAUGGAUAGAUACAACAAUAUCAUGAAAAUAUAAAACAUUUGUAUUCCAUUCUACAACAUGCCUAAAAAUCAAGGAAAAUGUAAAUCUUAAAAUAGAACAAAUUAGAUUGCUUAUACUUUAUGGAAUAUUAGUUUGUUAUAUCUAAAAUAGCUUCAUAAAAGUGAUAAUGCACUGAUUUAUUGUGUAAUAAUUGUUUUUGAUUUAACUUAUCCUGUAAUAUUUGCAUUACAUGAUGACACAGUUAUGUCUCUUCACAUCUGACUUAAGUUGAAGACUCCCCUUGGCUGUCUGAUAUAUUUAUCUUAAUAUGUACUGAAUAGUACUUACAUUUGGAAUACUGAAAGUUAAAAUUACUUUUUUUUUCCUAGGUUUGCCAUUAAUUAAAAAUUGAAAUUUUUGCCAUUUCAUAAUGGUAAGUGAAAGUACUAUUAUAUUAUUAUUUUUUUAAUGAUGAUAAUUUCAGACUAGAGUCUCUGAUUAACUGUUGAAUGUAAAUUUGUUAUCUGAUCAAUGAAAAUAAGUUUAAAUUUGAAGCAUUUUUUUAAAUUUUAUUUUAUAUUUAAAAUUAUAAAUUAUCCUGCAGGUAAUUUUCAAAUUGAAUUUGUCAAUAUAAAUACAAGUUUAUCAAGUUAUCCCAUUGACAUAAAUAUGGAGCCCACAUUUGUAUUAUGGGCCGGAUACAAGGAAUGUUUUUAUGCCUCAAGAAUGUUGCAAUGUCCACAAGGAUUUUGAUAAGCACUUCAGAAUAAUAAAUGGUAAAUUUGCUGAAACCAGAAAUACAAAAUGCCUGUAAUAAAAGUCCAAAGUACGAAGGAGAAUAAAUCAACAUAAAACGGGAAAACUGAUAUCAUUUUUAUUGCAACAAGAUAUUGUCAUGGUGAACAAAUUCAUCAAAGCUAGAAAGAGUGGGGAAACAGUUCUGUGGGACAAAUAAAGAUGAAAGAACAGUGUAAUCUGUAACAGGAUUUUGUGAGGUCACAGAUAUGCCCAUAAUAUCAGGAUAUCCAAACAGUUCUGAAUUGUAAUUGGGUGUGUUUGGUACAGAGACAAACUCCACAGUUACUAAAUAAUUGUCCUGAUUUAUUGUAACUUAAAAAUAAGCUUACAGCUACAACUGUCGACAAUAUCAGAUCUUCCAAUUUGUUUUUCUCUGAAAGUGCGAAUGUCCUGCUAGAACUAUCUUUCUGGAUCUCUUGGGAAGUCUGCGGUCCUGGGCGUUGAUUGGAGAAAAUCUAUUGGGGGGGACAGGGUAAUCUGGUUUAAUGUCAUGAUGUAGAGAUUUUUAACUGAGGAUGGUUCUGUGCAAUAGGAAGGCAGGGAAUAGAAGCUCCCUGUGGUCUUGAUACAUAUUUUUAUAAUUUUUCGGUUACCAGAUUGAACACUUUGAUUGGUCUUUUAACAUUAAUAGUUUUAUAAAAUUAUUUUAUAAAUUGCCUUUUACAUUUUUGUGUGGUUCAACUACACUUCCAGAGCUUCACAAUUGGACAAUGUUUAGCGACCUAACUUUAGUAUAAAUGUAUCGGAUAUUUUCUAUAAAUAAAUAAAUUUUGUUGUAA